GCCUUCACUCUCUUUGCUAGGACAAAAAGAAUAAGAAAACAGACACUCGUGCUCUUUCCUUUUUCUUCUUUCCUCUGAAACCCAUCCCCAUGCUUUUCCUUACUGACCAGAUAUUCAGGUUGAGCGUGUCGAAGAGUAGAGUAGGCGAAGGUUGCCGCCAUCGUCUCACUAGAGUCUAGCCACUACAGUGGAAAUCAUCACUGUAAAGUUUCCCGCACUCUUAUACCUCUUUUUCCCCCUUAAUUGUAUUGUUUUCUUCUUUGUCUGCAAUCAUGUCGGUUAUGCUUUACUUUCGUCUUGUUAAUUGAUUUUAAGUGGCUAGAAUUGAUCAUAGGUUUGAGUAGAGUUUUAGAUUUAAAAUUCUAGCUCAGGCCGUAUAAGGAAUUGAUGAAAAAGAAAUUUCAAAACUUUUCAUGCUCACUACCUGUUUGUCGGAAGGUUUUAAUGAAGAAAGAAGGAAAUAUACAAGGAAGCGAACAGAGAGAUGAGAGUGAUUGGAGAGUGAUGAGAGUGAAUAAUUACUGCUAUGAUAUGACUACUAUGAAUCUCAUUCUAUCUUUUAUUAAUUCACUCCAAUUUGUGCUGAAAGAGAAAAUUUGUGUGUUUAUACAUGAGGUAGCAGGUCCAUUGAAUACAACUUGGAACUCC
RNAcentral lists this long non-coding RNA (648 nucleotides) under Coffea arabica (coffee). Its description in RNAcentral is "long non-coding RNA (CARA_LNC003453)". Lineage: Eukaryota; Viridiplantae; Streptophyta; Magnoliopsida; Gentianales; Rubiaceae. The record is from RNAcentral.